CUCGUAGCUUCACCCAGCAGGCGAAGGUCCACUGCGCCUACUGCGACGGUGCCUACGACCAAGUGGGCUUCGACGAUUUGGAGCUGCAGAUCCACUUCUCAUGGCUGUUCUUUCCGUGGCACCGGUUCUACCUCCAUUUUCAUGAGAGGAUCCUCGGCAAGCUCAUCGGCGACGACAGCUUUGCACUGCCGUACUGGAGCUGGGAUGUUCCAGCCGGCAUGACGUUGCCUCUCAUGUAUACAAAUAGUGCUAGUUCUCUCUACGACAAGCUCAGGGAUGCCAAGCACCAGCCACCAACCCUCGUCGACCUUGACUUCAACGGAGUAGACCCAACCUACACCGCCGCCCAGCAGAUCGACCACAACCUCAAGAUUAUGUACCGCCAAGUCAUCUCCAACGGCAAGACAGCAAGCCUCUUCAUGGGCGCACCCUACCGCGCCGGUGACCAGCCAAGCCCCGGCCCGGGCUCGUUCGAGAACGUCCCUCAUGGCCCCGUCCAUGUCUGGACCGGCGACCGCAACCAGCCCAACGGGGAGGACAUGGGAACAC
RNAcentral lists this unclassified non-coding RNA (549 nucleotides) under Hevea brasiliensis (rubber tree). Lineage: Eukaryota; Viridiplantae; Streptophyta; Magnoliopsida; Malpighiales; Euphorbiaceae. The record is from RNAcentral.